This 521-nucleotide ribosomal RNA is filed under the name uncultured bacterium. RNAcentral's name for it is "bacterial SSU rRNA". It matches the Rfam family "Bacterial small subunit ribosomal RNA", at positions 8 to 518 of the family's 1533-position model. The record is from RNAcentral.
AGAGUUUGAUUAUGGCUCAGGAUGAACGCUGGCGGCGUGCUUAACACAUGCAAGUCGAACGGAUCUAUUCCGCUGUAAGAUGAAGUGCUUGCAUCGAUUCUACCUGGGACAGGUUAGUGGCGGACGGGUGAGUAACGCGUGGGUAACCUGCCUGUAUCUGGGGGAUAACAGUUAGAAAUGACUGCUAAUACCGCAUAAGCGCACAGUACCGCAUGGUACAGUGUGAAAAACUCCGGUGGAUACAGAUGGACCCGCGUUGGAUUAGCCGGUUGGUGGGGUAACGGCCUACCAAAGCAACGAUCCAUAGCCGGCCUGAGAGGGCGACCGGCCACAUUGGGACUGAGACACGGCCCAAACUCCUACGGGAGGCAGCAGUGGGGAAUAUUGCACAAUGGGGGAAACCCUGAUGCAGCGACGCCGCGUGAGCGAAGAAGUAUUUCGGUAUGUAAAGCUCUAUCAGCAGGGAAGAAAAUGACGGUACCUGACUAAGAAGCCCCGGCUAACUACGUGCCAGCCGCCGC